AUAACGGUCCUAAGGUAGCGAAAUUCCUUGUCAGGUAAGUUCUGACCCGCACGAAUGGCGUAAUGAUUUGGGCACUGUCUCAACAGCCCGCCCGGCGAAAUUGUAGUACUGGUGAAGAUGCCAGUUACCCGCAACUAGACGGAAAGACCCCAUGGAGCUUUACUGUAGCCUAAUACUGAAGAUCGGUAAUGCAUGUACAGGAUAGGUGGGAGCCAGCGAAACCCGGGCGUCAGCUCGGAUGGAGGCAACCUUGGAAUACCACCCUUGUAUUGCUGGUUUUCUAACCUGCGGCCAUGAAUCUGGUCGGGGGACACUGUUAGGUGGGCAGUUUGACUGGGGCGGUCGCCUCCAAAAGCGUAACGGAGGCGCUCAAAGGUUGGCUCAGCACGGACGGAAAUCGUGCAUAGAGUGCAAACGCAUAAGCCAACUUGACUGCGAGACCGACGGGUCGAGCAGGUACGAAAGUAGGAGUUAGUGAUCCGGUGGUAUGUGAGUGGAAAUGCCAUCGCUCAACGGAUAAAAGCUACCCUGGGGAUAACAGGCUGAUCUCCCCCAAGCGUCCACAGCGACGGGGAGGUUUGGCACCUCGAUGUCGGCUCGUCACAUCCUGGGGCUGUAUUCGGUCCCAAGGGUUCGGCUGUUCGCCGAUUAAAGUGGCACGCGAGCUGGGUUCAGAACGUCGUGAGACAGUUCGGUCCCUAUCUGUUGCGGGCGCAGGAGAUUUGAAGGGAGCUGUCCUUAGUACGAGAGGACCGGGAUGGACAGACCUCUGGUGCACCAGUUGUCGUGCCAACGGCACAGCUGGGUAGCUACGUCUGGACGAGAUAAACGCUGAAAGCAUCUAAGUGUGAAACUCCCCCUAAGAUAAGAUCUCCCAUCCAUUAGGAGUAAGGGACGACAAAGACUAUGUCGUUGAUAGGUCGGAAGUGUAAGUGCAGUAAUGCAUUGAGCUGACCGAUACUAAUAACCCGAGGGCUUGACCU
Molecule: ribosomal RNA, 983 nt
Filed under: human gut metagenome
Description: bacterial LSU rRNA
Rfam family: Bacterial large subunit ribosomal RNA
Source: RNAcentral